RNAcentral lists this ribosomal RNA (318 nucleotides) under uncultured bacterium. RNAcentral describes it as "bacterial SSU rRNA". It matches the Rfam family "Bacterial small subunit ribosomal RNA", at positions 481 to 793 of the family's 1533-position model. The record is from RNAcentral.
AAGGAAUAAGCCCCCGGCUAACUACUGCCAGCAGCCGCGGUAAUACGUAGGGGGCAAGCGUUAUCCGGAAUCACUGGGCGUAAAGGGAGUGUAGGCGGUCAAGCAAGUCAGAGGUGAAAGGCCAUCGGCUCAACCGAUGUAAGCCUUUGAAACUGUUUGACUUGAGUGCAGGAGAGGUAAGUGGAAUUCCUAGUGUAGCGGUGAAAUGCGUAGAUAUUAGGAGGAACACCAGUGGCGAAGGCGACUUACUGGACUGUAACUGACGCUGAGGGCCUCGAAAGCGUGGGGAGCGAACCAGGAUUAGAUACCCCUCGGUAG